AUUGAACGCUGGCGGCAUGCUUUACACAUGCAAGUCGAACGGCAGCGCGGGCUUCGGCCUGGCGGCGAGUGGCGAAUGGGUGAGUAAUACAUCGGAACGUGCCCAGUAGUGGGGGAUAGCUCGGCGAAAGCCGGAUUAAUACCGCAUACGACCUGAGGGUGAAAGCGGGGGAUCUUCGGACCUCGCGCUAUUGGAGCGGCCGAUGGCAGAUUAGCUAGUUGGUGGGGUAAAGGCCUACCAAGGCGACGAUCUGUAGCUGGUCUGAGAGGACGACCAGCCACACUGGGACUGAGACACGGCCCAGACUCCUACGGGAGGCAGCAGUGGGGAAUUUUGGACGAUGGGCGAAAGCCUGAUCCAGCAAUGCCGCGUGUGUGAUGAAGGCCUUCGGGUUGUAGAGCACUUUUGGCGGGAACGAAAAGGACUGUGCCAAUACCACGGUUCGAUGACGGUACCCGCAGAAUAAGCACCGGCUAACUACGUG
This 484-nucleotide ribosomal RNA is filed under the name uncultured bacterium. RNAcentral's name for it is "partial 16S ribosomal RNA". It matches the Rfam family "Bacterial small subunit ribosomal RNA", at positions 29 to 507 of the family's 1533-position model. The record is from RNAcentral.